Molecule: transfer RNA, 58 nt
Filed under: Acinetobacter baumannii 855125
Lineage: Bacteria; Pseudomonadati; Pseudomonadota; Gammaproteobacteria; Moraxellales; Moraxellaceae
Description: partial tRNA-Ile
Rfam family: tRNA
About the family: Transfer RNA (tRNA) molecules are approximately 80 nucleotides in length. Their secondary structure includes four short double-helical elements and three loops (D, anti-codon, and T loops). Further hydrogen bonds mediate the characteristic L-shaped molecular structure. tRNAs have two regions of fundamental functional importance: the anti-codon, which is responsible for specific mRNA codon recognition, and the 3' end, to which the tRNAs corresponding amino acid is attached (by aminoacyl-tRNA synthetases). tRNAs cope with the degeneracy of the genetic code in two manners: having more than one tRNA (with a specific anti-codon) for a particular amino acid; and 'wobble' base-pairing, i.e. permitting non-standard base-pairing at the 3rd anti-codon position.
Source: RNAcentral
GGCUAUGUAGCUCAGUUGGUUAGAGCACACGCUUGAUAAGCGUGGGGUCACAAGUUCA